Molecule: ribosomal RNA, 322 nt
Filed under: uncultured eukaryote
Lineage: Eukaryota
Description: partial 18S ribosomal RNA
Rfam family: Eukaryotic small subunit ribosomal RNA
Source: RNAcentral
CCCUUAGAUGUUCUGGGAUGCACGCGCGUUACACUGAUUCGUUCAACGAGUUUAUGACCUUGCCUGAUGAGGUGGGGGAAUCUUUUCAAAUCGCAUCGUGAUGGGGAUAGAGUAUUGUAACUGUUAGUCUUCAACGAGGAAUUCCUAGUAAGUACGUGUCAUCAGCUCGUACUGAUUAUGUCCCUGCCCUUUGUACACACCGCCCGUCGCACCUACCGAUUGAAUGGUCCGGUGAAAUCUCGGGACGGCGGCUUGGUCGCUUGCGUCCGACUGCUGAAACUUGAUUAAACCAUAUCAUUUAGAGGAAGGUGAAGUCGUAACA